This 1620-nucleotide long non-coding RNA is filed under the name Homo sapiens (human). RNAcentral's name for it is "long intergenic non-protein coding RNA 320". The record is from RNAcentral. Lineage: Eukaryota; Metazoa; Chordata; Mammalia; Primates; Hominidae.
CUGGCAUGGAUCAAGAGAAAAGAAAAUACAAGAAAACAGACAGAAGGCAAGGUACUUCUAUGGAAGGGUGAGCCCUCACAGAUGGAGCAAUGGGGCGCGCACACCUGAACAAGGGAGGGGAAGGAGUUCUUAUCCCUGAUGCAUGUGACCCCUGCUGCUGUGUCCUUCCCCUAUUGGCUAAGGUUAGACCACACAGCCUAAACUAAUUCCGAUUGGCUAAUUCAAAGAGAGCGACGGGGGCUUCUGACAGCUUUGGAGAUUGUGACAUUGGAAUAAAGGAAAAACGUACAGGACUCAUGAAGCGCUGAAAUGUUCACAAAUAUCAAGCAAAAGUCAAUGAAAUUUAUUUUGAGCUAUUUACAUCAUUUAAUAAUUGAGCAAGGUAUACUCCUAUGAACAAAAUUUGGAGCAUGUUUGUCUCUCUCUGCCUGGCGUCUUCAGAAUUUGGAAACUAGUUAUGGUUUAUAAUCAGCUAUAGAAUUUUAACACGUGCUCUCAAAUGCAAGUUUCUGAUAACUUUGGAGAUUGUGACAUUGGAAUAAAGGAAGAGCUGGAAUGUUCAUGAAUAUCAAGCAAAAGUCAUGGAAAUUUAUUUUGAGCUAUUUACAGCAUUUAAUAAUUGAGCAAGGUAUACUCCUAUGAACAAAAUUUGGAGCAUGUUUGUCUCUCUCUGUCUGCCUGGCAUCUACAGAAUUUGGAAACUAGUUUCGUUCCCAGAUUUCCUAAACUUUCCAGAGAAAAUGGUCUUCUCCCUGGCUCAGCAAGAAGAUGAACUUUAAACACUGAGAAACUGGUCAUCUCCCUGGCUCAACCAGAAGAUGAACUUUAAACACUACUCUCAAUGACUUGAUGUUCCCAUCACUACUCCUGUCAUAAAGGGAGGGGACUCAGAUAUUGAGAAUUUUAUGAUAGUGUGAACUGUCUGGUAUGUCAUUUAAGUAAGCCCGUUGCUGAAAUAUUUUCCAUGUUAUUAGAAAGAGCUGAAGAGAGGGAUUGAGAUGGCUUCUUUAUUUUUUGUCUUUUGGGAAUUAAAGGAACCUGGUUCAACAAGGGCCUACACCUAAGUCUCUUGUUGUACCAGAGUACAAUUUAGGACUGCUCCUGAGGAAGGAAUUAGCUAGAAAUCUAGAGAGUAAGGGUAACAGAUUUACAUAGAAUAACAGCCUCAGUAUUUUUGGUUCCUCUCCAGUAAAGAUCACAAAGAAUAUUGCUAAAUCGCUAAAACACCUUUGCAAUAACGUAAGGGCUUACAACUAUAUACCAAUGUAGCUCAGUUACUAAACUGGAGUAAACUAAUUUCUCUUGUGUAGAAAAAUUGGUUGGCUGUGGUUUUAUAGCAGAUCUGCAAUUAUUAAUAGUUAUGCCAAUAAUCGUUUAACAGUGCAUAUGUUAAUAUAUAUGGAAAGACAAUGUGUAUAGACAGAUGUGUAAAAUUGAAAAAUAAACAUAUAACAAGAGAGAAACAUCUAUCGAACAGACAAUAUACAUACACAUCAAACACAACAGCAGUUUUAGUGACCAUAAUAUUUAUUUCUCAUUUUUACAUUGCUUACUUUAGUGACAACUGAAAAUGACAGUUGGCAAUGCAGCUAACAGUUUCAAUAAAAGUAUAAAACAAAA